UGGGGAAUAUUGCGCAAUGGGGGGAACCCUGACGCAGCCAUGCCGCGUGAAUGAAGAAGGCCUUAGGGUUGUAAAGUUCUUUCGGUAUUGAGGAAGGUUGAUGUGUUAAUAGCACAUCAAAUUGACGUUAAAUACAGAAGAAGCACCGGCUAACUCCGUGCCAGCAGCCGCGGUAAUACGGAGGGUGCGAGCGUUAAUCGGAAUAACUGGGCGUAAAGGGCACGCAGGCGGUUAUUAAAGUGAGGUGUGAAAGCCCCGGGCUUAACCUGGGAAUUGCAUUUCAGACUGGGUAACUAGAGUACUUUAGGGAGGGGUAGAAUUCCACGUGUAGCGGUGAAAUGCGUAGAGAUGUGGAGGAAUACCGAAGGCGAAGGCAGCCCCUUGGGAAUGUACUGACGCUCAUGUGCGAAAGCGUGGGGAGCAAACAGGAUUAGAUACCCUGGUAGUCCACGCUGUAAACGCUGUCGAUUUGGGGGUUGGGGUUUAACUCUGGCGCCCGUAGCUAACGUGAUAAAUCGACCGCCUGGGGAGUACGGCCGCAAGGUUA
This 547-nucleotide ribosomal RNA is filed under the name uncultured bacterium. Its description in RNAcentral is "bacterial SSU rRNA". It matches the Rfam family "Bacterial small subunit ribosomal RNA", at positions 355 to 896 of the family's 1533-position model. The record is from RNAcentral.